RNAcentral lists this long non-coding RNA (2140 nucleotides) under Pogonomyrmex barbatus (red harvester ant). RNAcentral's name for it is "uncharacterized LOC105432263". Lineage: Eukaryota; Metazoa; Arthropoda; Insecta; Hymenoptera; Formicidae. The record is from RNAcentral.
UUUGCUGGGCAAAUUAUUGCACGCGCGCCGAUCGGUCGCUCCGCGGGAUUCAUGGCAUUGGCGCGCGAUAGCUCGCCCCAUUGUGAGCCGGUUUCUUGCCGGUAUAUCGCCGUACAUCUUCUCACAAGAAAAUUAUCGCGCGCCCGAGUUCUUGACCUUACUUGAACGCCUGCCAAUAUUAUCCGUUCUCAAUCUUUAAAUAACGUGCAUCUUUACCUGCGAAGAAGACAAGCCAACCCAGAUGCCAAUACGUUUUGAAAACAAUUCGCGUAUCGAUCCCUUUGAACAAAUACACGAUAAUACACGAACAAAUACACGGCGACCCUUUUUCGCCUGUUAUUUCAGGUACUCCUCUUUUCAACUCUGAAUGAUCUUACCCACGUUUUUUUCUUUGCGCGAUCGGAUUAUACCAGGUCGUAUUUCAAAGGGAGUCUGCUUAGUCGUGUGUCAAAACAGGCGUAUUUGCCAGAUUCACCGUCGCAAAGAAAAUAUGGCAAAUCUUUUCCUUGUUUUGUAAACGUUUGCAAUUUAAUAAAAUGUUGCAAUCCAUGUCUAGGAUUUAAUUUACUUUUUCAAUUUAUUAUUGUCCUUGUCAAAUUAGAUUAUUUUUUGCAAUUUGCUAAAUCAAUUACUCGCUGUAUGCGUGACAUAGAGAUGAAUGUGAAUGUUCGCUCAAUGAAAUGAGCUCAAAUUUAUCGAUCUGCUAAGCCCAAAUAUUUAUAUACUCUAUGGAAUGGCAAAUUUUUAAACAAAAAUAAUAAUUAUUUCAAAACCGCACUUUUCGAAACGAAGAAACAAUUGUUAUAUAAAUAAAUGAAACUUUCCUAUAUAUAUAUCUCAACCUUAUAUAACAGAAAAAAUUAUAGAAUAAAAGCCAAAUAUUACACAACCGACGAAAGGUGAGGUCAAUUAAAAUCGUAUUAUUAUUAUUAUUUUAAAGCAAUCAUGUUUAACAGUUAGAACGAUGAAGACGAUCGCAGGGUCAUUAUCCACGUCUGUGAUAACGACGCUACCAGAUCGCUUCUUUUUGAAUCGGGGACCGGAAAGGGUACGGAGAAAAAGAACGAACGGUCGACCUCGUUUCUCGUUGCCAUCCUUCCUCAUCAUAUACCGGAAUGAAAUUGCCCGCGGAAGGCCGGCGGAAGGCCGACCCGUAGACUUUCUGAGGUUAACCGUGCCGCCUGUUAAUGGUCAGAGCCACGAAAGCCGACCGUAUUUUAAAGUCGCCAGUAGUCAGGCAGCGAACUCUUUUGCGGCGUCGAUUAACUUCAGCGAGAGCGCCGAAACGAAGACAUGAGAAUAAGAGAAAAAGGGAGCUCACGUUUUUACUCACGUUUCUUAAGAGACGCAGAAGACCGGAUAAUUGAGGGAUCUCUCUACAUUCACACCGAAUUUAUCGCGCUGAAGUAGCUUAAGGCAAGGAUACAGAAGUUUGUAAAUACAUAAUCACAGUCUAUAUAAUUCAAUGCUAAAUGCGAUAUUUCCUCUCUCUAGGAAAUACUUGUAUCACAUAGCGAUUCUCAUUAAUCUAUAUAUUUUUCACUUUCACAAAGAAUUUCUGACUGAGAAUUUUUGGAAUUGAUUUUUCUUUUUUUUUCUUUCGAGCUUGAGUCACAAAACAACACUUCGAUUAUAAAAUCCGAAAGUUUUGAUAAAGAAUAUAUCCUAUAUAAGAUCAACAUCUUUUUUUAUGUUAUCCCGUUAACGUAUCGUUUAAAAAAGCGAUCGAUAUACGAGUGAUUUUCGAGUGCCGAUUCUUUAUCUAUUCGCUCUCAUCCCACGGAUUCCUGCGGCGCGAAAGAAAGUUUAUUGGAGAUCGCGGUGAUGAGAAUACACCGCGAUAAUGCGAUAUUUCAUCACGGACGUGGACGAGCUGAACGAAGUCGCGGACCUCCCGCAUCGAAAGCGCCGAAUGAUCUCCCGAGAGCAGCUCCCGGUUAUUGAAUGUCGAACGCGAAGGAGCGAACGAUCGAUCGCGUGACGAGGCGAAAAAGAAUCGAGCGCGCGCUAUCUAGAUGAAGUUCAUUAGAACGUGCGCUCCGAAGUCGAACACGUUAAAGUCGUUUGCGUUACCGACACUAGUCCGUCCGUCAAGCGUGAACGAACCCGAGGAAAGGCCCGCCUCAGUUAAAAAAAAAAA